RNAcentral lists this ribosomal RNA (508 nucleotides) under uncultured bacterium. RNAcentral describes it as "partial 16S ribosomal RNA". It matches the Rfam family "Bacterial small subunit ribosomal RNA", at positions 29 to 523 of the family's 1533-position model. The record is from RNAcentral.
AUUGAACGCUGGCGGCAGGCCUAACACAUGCAAGUCGAGCGGCAGCGGGAAAGUAGCUUGCUACUUUUGCCGGCGAGCGGCGGACGGGUGAGUAAUGCCUGGGGAUCUGCCCAGUCGAGGGGGAUAACUACUGGAAACGGUAGCUAAUACCGCAUACGCCCUACGGGGGAAAGCAGGGGACCUUCGGGCCUUGCGCGAUUGGAUGAACCCAGGUGGGAUUAGCUAGUUGGUGAGGUAACGGCUCACCAAGGCGACGAUCCCUAGCUGGUCUGGGAGGAUGAUCAGCCACACUGGAACUGAGACACGGUCCAGACUCCUACGGGAGGCAGCAGUGGGGAAUAGUGCACAAUGGGGGAAACCCUGAUGCAGCCAUGCCGCGUGUGUGAAGAAGGCCUUCGGGUUGUAAAGCACUUUCAGCGAGGAGGAAAGGUCAGUAGCUAAUAUCUGCUGGCUGUGACGUUACUCGCAGAAGAAGCACCGGCUAACUCCGUGCCAGCAGCCGCCGUAA